This 356-nucleotide transfer-messenger RNA is filed under the name Magnetococcales bacterium. RNAcentral's name for it is "partial transfer-messenger RNA". It matches the Rfam family "transfer-messenger RNA". From Rfam's summary of the family: Bacterial tmRNA, also known as 10Sa RNA or SsrA, is named for its dual tRNA and mRNA-like properties. Its role is to liberate the mRNA from a stalled ribosome. To accomplish this part of the tmRNA is used as a reading frame that ends in a translation stop signal. The record is from RNAcentral. Lineage: Bacteria; Pseudomonadati; Pseudomonadota; Magnetococcia; Magnetococcales.
GGGGGUGUACCGGCUUCGACGGGGUGUGGAAAGAUCUUUGGAGGCGACUCGGUAUUGUACCGCCGUAAUGGACAAAAAUUGAUAAUUGCUAACGACGAGCAUUACGCUCCGGCACUCGCAGCAGCUUAAACUGUUGUAAAGUGCGGGGUCCCGAUCUGGGCCCGGCAACAGAAGCCACAAGGUAUGAUCAAGCCGGAACUAAACAGGCCGGUCUAAAUAAAGGGGUUUCCAGUACUGCGAGGUAACGCAGGUUUCAAGGUCAGCUGGUCGAAGGCCAAGAAACUAUCAGACCAGCAAAAUAGUCGUGCAUCUUCCGGGUUGAAUACAUGUUUCGGACGCGGGUUCGACUCCCACCA